This is a non-coding RNA of Danio rerio (zebrafish), 2328 nucleotides long. The record is from RefSeq and is a predicted model, not a curated record. NCBI's taxonomy places the organism in Eukaryota, Metazoa, Chordata, Actinopteri, Cypriniformes, Danionidae.
AUAUUUUGGCAAAUUGCACCAAAUGAACGAAAUGACCCAAAAAAAGAUUCGUUUAUCUCCAUGAACAAGACUCAAAGAUCCGAGUCAGUAAAAUGAUCCGAACUUCCCAUCACUAGCCAAUAACAAUAAACCAUUUCAGCAGUUUGAGAAGUAAUUAGUAAUGUAAAGUCUGAAAAGCUCAGGUAUCUUGAAAAUAUAUCGCCAGUUCACAGCUUGUAACGGACCCAACUAUAACAUGCCUAUACACGUUCAUAAGAGUGUGCCAUUGGCACAUUUUGGGCCCUAUUUUAAUGAUCCAAGCGUAAAGCCCAAGGCACAAACGCAUUAAGGGCGAGUCUGAAUCCACUUUUGCUAUUUUAAGGACAGGAUAACACGCUCUGCGCGGUGGUGCAUGGUCUGAAAGGGUUGUGCUUAUUCUCUUAAUGAGUUAGAGGUGUGUUUUGGCCGUAACUUUUAUUAAACCAAUCAGUCUCAUUAUCCAUUCCCUUUAAGAGCGAAAUGUGCGCAUAACAGAUUCAUUUUUUACAUGGCGGGUUGCAGGAGGUCUGAACGCUUCAGUGGCAAGGUUAAAGCGCACGAGCAGAUCAUCUAUGGAACAAAUCAGAAUCCACCAAAGCUCCCCGAGGUGAAAAAGGCAUGGGAGGAAGACAGUGGCGACUGUGUCCUCGUCUUCUGAUAUCACAAGAACGGCUGUACAAUGCUGAAAAAGCAGCGGGGAGGACCCCCUACAGCCACUUUAGACCUUCCGCCAGCGGAGGACAUCGCUGCCUCUACUCUCAGUGCUGACAGCAUUGAGUGGUUUGGUAAUUUAGAGGUGGUCGUCCAAGGUAAUGCAUUGUUAAUUAAAAUAAUUAAAAGUAAAAACAAUUUGUUCAAUGUUCUUAUGAAUAAAUUGUUUACAUUUUUUAUUUAUUCAGCAACAAUCAUACAUUUCAUGCAGCUCCGCUGGUUGAAGGUUCGGCCGCCGGGCCCAGUAGGCAGGAGCAAGAGGUAGUUCUGCAGGGAGAAGAGACCAUGGAACCACCAAGGUUGAGAGGAGAGGCAAGACCCAGAGCUCGACGCAGAAACGUCGACCAGGAGGACCACCCAUUCCUGGCCCUCCAGCAGGCCGGCUUCAAUAUGCUGGAACGGCAACAGGGUAGGAACCACCAGAACUUGGAGAUGUUGCUGCUGCCGCUCGGACGCUUCGCCGAUAGUGUGAUCAGCCACUCUACAGUUCUGCUGUUCCUGGACCCUUGCAUGCUUGCCACACCGUGGAGCUUCGCGACUGCGAACGCGAGGAGGAAGGUCAAACAUUUAAGUUUAUAAUGUAAAAAAUAACCACACACACACACACACAAAUGUUCGUGGCAUCACUGCAAUCUAAAUAAAAUAAAUGAACAAUAAACUGAGGUCUACUAAUUUGCAAAAAAAUGCACUAAAUUGCUUUGCUUGUACAGCAGGAAAAAGGUCCUAACAUUUGUACAUUUCCAGAGCAAAAGCGUUUCAGCACCUAGCACAGCGCUGUGUGUUUUAAUAAAGAUAUUUCAAUAAAAUGGUUGCCAUCAUAUCCAGAGGUUAAAGGUCAAAUGCAAAAUUUCUACAGUUUAAAAGUAAAACAAUUGAGCUUAUAAGUCUACAGGUGAGGCGGCUCUUCUGCCAGCUGAUCUCUCCUGGCCUGUGCUGCUGCUAAUUGGCAUCGCCACAUGCAGUUCAGCUUCACGCCAUCUAAAAUCCUGUAAUCUAAUGUUGAAAAGACCCACUCUCAAAUAAAUGUAGUGCAGCAGUUACUUUUACAGCAACGGGGAGUGCAUAUGGGCAGGAUGCAUUCGUUUCUAAGUCAUCUGCCAGAAGAUGACAAAGUUCGGUUACUGCCUGGCAAGAUAACCGUAGCCUCUGGUGACACUCCACCUCAGACAGCAACAAAUAUGUGGACCUUGGUCGGUGGACCCUCGGCCUCCUCCGUCUCCCAAUUCUCUGGCCCAUAAGGUACUCCAUUUGGCUAAACAAAAUAAAUGCAUAACUACAUUACUGAUGAAAUACGUUAUUGAUCAAAUAGGUACACUGACAAACUGAGGAGAUCAAUAAGAGAUAUUUUGCCCAUUUUAUAUUUAUGUACACAAUAGGCUAAUAAUCUUUUAUUAUUACAUAUUCAUUUUUUAUUUUCAUAUUUAAACAUAACUCGUGCUGCACAUCAUGUGUGUGAAAUAAGCAACAUGUCUUUGUGCAUUGGACCUGCCUAUCACUAACGCGUUUUCUAAACAAUCCGAUAUAACCUGCGCUGGACUUUACACCAACUUUCAGUCGAUCUAUGGCGUGGUCUAAUGUAAUUGUCUCAAAAUAGCAACG